ACCUGCACAGGUGCUGCAUGGCUGUCGUCAGCUCGUGUCGUGAGAUGUUGGGUUAAGUCCCGCAACGAGCGCAACCCUUAUCCCUAGUUGCCAUCAGGUAAAGCUGGGAACUCUGGGGAGACUGCCGGUGAUAAACCGGAGGAAGGCGGGGAUGACGUCAAGUCCUCAUGGCCCUUACAUCCCGGGCUACACACGUGCUACAAUGGCAGGUACAGAGGGCUGCGAAGCCGCGAGGUGGAGCGAAUCCCAGAAAACCUGUCUCAGUCCGGAUUGAAGUCUGCAACUCGACUUCAUGAAGGCGGAAUCGCUAGUAACCGCGAAUCAGCAGGUCGCGGUCGAAUACGUUCCCGGGCCUU
Molecule: ribosomal RNA, 356 nt
Filed under: uncultured Latescibacterota bacterium
Lineage: Bacteria; Pseudomonadati; Candidatus Latescibacterota
Description: bacterial SSU rRNA
Rfam family: Bacterial small subunit ribosomal RNA
Source: RNAcentral